This 464-nucleotide ribosomal RNA is filed under the name uncultured bacterium. Its description in RNAcentral is "partial 16S ribosomal RNA". It matches the Rfam family "Bacterial small subunit ribosomal RNA", at positions 28 to 507 of the family's 1533-position model. The record is from RNAcentral.
GACGAACGCUGGCGGCGUGCUUAACACAUGCAAGUCGAACGGAAAGGCCCUGCUUGCAGGGUACUCGAGUGGCGAACGGGUGAGUAACACGUGGGUGAUCUGCCCUGCACUUCGGGAUAAGCCUGGGAAACUGGGUCUAAUACCGGAUAGGAGCCAUUUUUAGUGUGAUGGUUGGAAAGUUUUUUCGGUGUAGGAUGAGCUCGCGGCCUAUCAGCUUGUUGGUGGGGUAAUGGCCUACCAAGGCGGCGACGGGUAGCCGGCCUGAGAGGGUGGACGGCCACAUUGGGACUGGGAUCCGGCCCGGACUCCUACGGGAGGCAGAAGUGGGGAAUAUUGCACAAUGGGCGCAAGCCUGAUGCAGCGACGCCGCGUGGGGAUGACGGCCUUCGGGUUGUAAACUCCUUUCGCUAGGGACGAAGCUUUUUGUGACGGUACCUAGAUAAGAAGCACCGGCUAACUACGUG